Etheostoma cragini (Arkansas darter) is the source of this 1581-nucleotide long non-coding RNA. RefSeq lists it as uncharacterized. The transcript has 3 exons. The record is from RefSeq and is a predicted model, not a curated record. NCBI's taxonomy places the organism in Eukaryota, Metazoa, Chordata, Actinopteri, Perciformes, Percidae.
UUACAUCACACUUAAAUGGGUUAAAUCAUAAACAUACUUCAGCCAUUUGGCAGCUCAAGGCUUCCUACCCAGGAAUAUUCUGUUAUGAAAGCGUUUGGGCAACAAUAGGGCAACUGUUUGUUUUGCAGAUGCGGUGAAGGUCAGCUGAUCUGGUUCAUGUGGGACAUGCACGCUGGUUGCAGCUCCUGCUGUUGCUAUGAGACUAUUCUGAAAGUCCUUUUGAAGUGCGGCGCUGCUUAGCCGAACAUUCGGCGCUCUGUCGGCUCUAGAAAACGUGUGAAAAUGUCUCGGCGCUUGAGGUUGAAGUGGUUUUCUCCCGCGGCUCGCUAUAACUCCGAAGUGAAUCAUUUUUGGGGUAAUCUCGAUGAAAGCUAUGUAACAUACUUAAUGUUGGGUUUAUAGCUUGCAAAAUGCUUUAUAAAUUAGUAAUAAACCAUUUAUAUGAAGAACUUUUAUUUUCAGAGCAAAGUGUUUAGGUGGUGUAUCUUCUCCACCAUGUUUUCUUAUCAAACACUUUAAAUCCCCAAUAGUCAACAGACUGCUCCAACUGCCAUUUAUGUGUUUUUACCGAUUCAUAUAGCAUUUAUAGUGAAGGGAAUUUACAAAAUAAGCCAUGUUUAAAAAAAAAAAAGUAGUAUUAAGGAAUCUUUGAUUUUAGUAUGAUAAUUCUGCUGGAAUUCACUGUUAUGAUUCUUUAAGCAUUUGAGUUGGGGGGCGGGGGGGACUGAAUAAAAUAAUGGAAGAAGGAACAAUGACUGUAUCCCAGAUUAGACACAGUCUUUACUGUUCAUCAUCAUGGGAUAUAACGCUCACAAGUACAUCACACAUUUAUCUGUUCUGAGAGUUUUGAGCUAUCUGCCACCACCACAAGACAAUGGAGGAAAAUGGGAUUUCAAUUUUGUUGCUUAAAAAGGUGAAAAAGUCAACAGUAACUCUAUAUCUCUCCAGACAAAUGUCCCCAAACCCAUGAUGCAUUUCAACUAUUUGCUGUGAUCUCUUAUUGAUUUUAAUCACAGUAACAGAGACUCACUUUCUAGAAAGGGUUGGUGCUUUUGUAUUAUUUUAGAAUUCAAUAUGUCUCAGUUAUUAACAGAAAUGGACAAAUUAAACCAGCACUUUUGGUGAGAUACCACUGAAUAAGUGCUGUAAGUGUAAAGAUAUGCUUUUAGUCGUUUGGAUGAACCAGGCCUUUUGAAGCUUUAGUGCAUAGCUUUUUUUUAUAUUAAUAAACUUCUGUUACACUCAAGCCAUUUCUAAAUGAGUUGAUACGAAGCUAAUUAAGACUAUCAGCUCCACACAUCUCUCUCUGUAUUUCUCAGUAUGGCUAUGUAUUUUCCAAUAAUUGUGUCGUCUGUCAACUUUCAUACAGAGAAACUCAAGUGAAGAUAAUAACUUCUUCUGAAGAGUCCAUCCUGUUUUGGUUUUUGUUAAUCCUCCGUGUUGUCAUUGGCCAAUGUUGCAUUGCAUUCACAUGGGAACUCAGAAGCCGAAACUGGCAAUGACGUAACACCCGAGUUGAAUGCGUUCCAUUUUCAAGUUGGGUUUUCAUUGCUUUCGUUAGCUCUAGCCAGGUUAGCCAUU